This is a non-coding RNA of Vicugna pacos (alpaca), 534 nucleotides long. NCBI's taxonomy places the organism in Eukaryota, Metazoa, Chordata, Mammalia, Artiodactyla, Camelidae. The record is from RefSeq and is a predicted model, not a curated record.
GUGUUCCUUUAUAGUGUUUAUAGUAUAGUUCCUUAGUAGUAUUUCAUUUUAUGGAUUUAUCAUAUAUUGUUUGUCUAUUCACCAGUUGAUGGAUAUUUAGGUUGUUUCCAGUUUCUGGGCUAUUUUGAUUAAAGACAAUAUAAAUAUUUGCAUGUAGAUUUUGUAUGGACAUGUGUUUUCAUUGCUCUUACUUACCUAUUGCUGUUUAACAAAUUACCAUAAACUCAGUUCCCUAACAGAACACAGAUUUGUUAUUUCGAUGUUUCUGCAUGUCAACAGUCUGGCACAAUGGGAUUUUCUGUCCAGAAUUUCACCAGGCUACAAUGAAGAUAUGGGCUUGCUGUGGCUGUAAUCUCAUCUGAGGUUUAACCCUGCGGCAAAAUUUUUCUCUUAGCAUCUGAUGUCCAGAUAACUCAAUGGGAACAACCGGUACCAGGUGUGGACUGAGAAGUCACGCGCUAGUCUGAAGCCUGGAAGAGAAAUGGUUGGAACAUCAGAGACAAGGAUGUCUUGGGUAAAUGUACAUGGAUGGAC